This 138-nucleotide microRNA precursor is filed under the name Pelobates cultripes (western spadefoot toad). The record is from RNAcentral. Lineage: Eukaryota; Metazoa; Chordata; Amphibia; Anura; Pelobatidae.
AGUGCCAGGAAAACAAACCUGUUUUCCUGGCACUAUAGGCUCCUGGAGUGCCCCCUCCCAGCUACCAAAUGGACUGGAGAUCUUAAAGGGAUCCUAUAGUGCCAGGAAAACAAACCUGUUUUCCUGGCACUAUAGGCU